This 577-nucleotide small RNA is filed under the name chicken gut metagenome. The record is from RNAcentral.
AAUAAUAUACGAAGGCGCAGUAUUCUAGUCAACUAGUACAUGCGAGGGUGCCGAAAUAAGCAUCGCUGGCACAACUAUGAAGUUCGUGGUGUCGGCCUUGAUUGCCCAAAUUGGGGCUGAUGCUGGGAGUUAAGAUUUUUGGGACGCAUAUAACGGCAUAUAUGUUUACCCCAAUUAUCGCGGAGACUUAAGUGGGUAGAGAUAUAUGUAUCAACAUGUUAUCUAUCGCUUAGGCUGGAAACCUGCAUAUGACGAAAGUUAUGUGCAGUGUAGCCUGCUUUGAGUGGUCAAUCUGGGAUAGGGCGAAAGCUCAUCUCUUUCAAAGUACACGAUUUUGAUGAGUUGCUCUUGAAAUAUUGAACGCAAAAUUAAGAUAAGUAUGGACGAUGUUGUCAAGGAAAACUUCUAGACUGUUCGUAUGAGACAUUUUGGGGAUUAUAGUGUGGUCUCAGUGGCGAUUCGGUGCAAGUCUUGCGUAAAGGGAAACCGCUUGUCUGGUAACGGAGAAGUGCAAGAUUGGGAAAUCCAACCGAACCUUAUGCCGCAAGGUUUACUCAGAAUGUUGCCUUCGUACUUU